RNAcentral lists this ribosomal RNA (253 nucleotides) under uncultured bacterium. RNAcentral's name for it is "partial 16S ribosomal RNA". It matches the Rfam family "Bacterial small subunit ribosomal RNA", at positions 524 to 776 of the family's 1533-position model. The record is from RNAcentral.
GACGGAGGAUGCAAGCGUUAUCCGGAAUGAUUGGGCGUAAAGCGUCCGCAGGUGGCAGUUCAAGUCUGCUGUCAAAGACCGGGGCUUAACUUCGGAAAGGCAGUGGAAACUGAACAGCUAGAGUAUGGUAGGGGCAGAGGGAAUUCCUGGUGUAGCGGUGAAAUGCGUAGAGAUCAGGAGGAACACCGGUGGCGAAGGCGGCUACCUGGACAGAAACUGACGCUGAGGCGCGAAAGCUAGGGGAGCAAACAGG